GAUCAGAUUAUUGUUCCAGAGGAGGUUUUUUUUUGAAAAGGUUAAUCAGUCAGCUAGGAGGGUUUAUAUUUUGAAAUUUCAUACAGAUGAUAAGAAGUUUUUCUUCUGGAUGCAGGAGCCAAAAGAUGUCCCUUGAUGCUCCUUCAUAACCUGUACAAGUGAGGCUGUUUGUCCCUUGAUGUCCCAAACCUAAGAUGCAUCGGAUUGGUCUUUGGGACCAAAAGAGUGCUUACUAAUGCUGGGAUGGCGGCCGAAUGUUGUUGAAAUGAUUGAAGAAUAUGACAAUUACCU
Ipomoea triloba (trilobed morning glory) is the source of this 291-nucleotide long non-coding RNA. RefSeq lists it as uncharacterized. Lineage: Eukaryota; Viridiplantae; Streptophyta; Magnoliopsida; Solanales; Convolvulaceae. The record is from RefSeq and is a predicted model, not a curated record. The transcript has 4 exons.